Molecule: long non-coding RNA, 931 nt
Organism: Monomorium pharaonis (pharaoh ant)
Lineage: Eukaryota; Metazoa; Arthropoda; Insecta; Hymenoptera; Formicidae
Exons: 2
Source: RefSeq, a predicted model, not a curated record
UUUUAUUUCUAGUUGCACUUAAAAGAUAUCCGAUUUAAGAAAUCUUUUAGAUAUCUGCUUGAUUUCUGCUGCCAAUCUGCUGUCAGGUUAUGUCACCAAAUCCUGCUCGGUUUCUGCAAUCAAUCUGCUGGCAUGCCAUGCCAGCAGGCUUUGUCGACAAAUCCUGAGCUUAAUGCGGACACAGAAUGCUAUGGAUCUGCAAUGGGUAUCUGAUUGAAUUUGCUGCCAAUCUUCUCGCAAUCUGCUAGCAUUUUGCUAUUAGGAUAUGGAUACACAAAAUACAGAUGUUAAUGCAUUAAUGAUAGCUAUACCAAGAUUGCCAAAUUGUGCUGGAAAUGGCUGAAACUACCGGAAGUUUAACGGAAAAUGGCGGAGCCAAUCACAAUCAAGAGCGGUAUUGGCACAACUCUCCUUAUAGGAACUCUAGUGCGAUCGAGACGUCGAUGCGUGACGGAAAAAGAGAUAGAGGGAGGAGCAAGAGAAGGGAGAGGAAAGAAGCAAGGAGAGUAGAUGUCAAGGGGGAGAAGGAGCAAGAGGAGAGGGCUAGAAGGAGGGGAGAAGCCAGAAGAGGACAGUAGCGCACUCGAAAGAGUGGGAAGUUAAAAGGAUGCGUACGAGCGAAAGAAGAAAUUGUUACAUUGCGAGUCUGAAAGAAAGGAAAAAGAAGGUGCAAAAGAAAGCAGAGAUAGAGACAGGAGGAGGAAAGAAAGAGAAGGGUUGCACGGAGAAGCGGAGUAGGAGGUCAAGGAAAAAUUGGAGAGAGACAAGCGGCAAGGAGGAGAAACAAAGGGAGAAGCGGAAGAAGAUAAGGGGGAAGAACAAGCAAGAAGAUGAGGAGAAAGCCAGAGGAGAACAGAAAGAGCAAUUGAAAGAGUAGGAGGUUGAGAAGAUGCGUACGAGCGAAGGAAGAAAUUGUUAUAGCGCGAGUCUG